This 491-nucleotide ribosomal RNA is filed under the name uncultured bacterium. RNAcentral's name for it is "partial 16S ribosomal RNA". It matches the Rfam family "Bacterial small subunit ribosomal RNA", at positions 30 to 523 of the family's 1533-position model. The record is from RNAcentral.
AUUGAACGCUGGCGGCAGGCCUAACACAUGCAAGUCGAGCGGCAGCACUUCGGGUGGCGAGCGGCGAACGGGUGAGUAGUACAUGGGAAUCUGCCCAGUAGUGGGGGAUAACUUCGGGAAACUGGAGGUAAUACCGCAUACGUCCUACGGGAGAAAGCAGGGGAUCGCAAGACCUUGCGCUAUUGGAGGAGCCAAUGUCCGAUUAGCUAGUUGGUGAGGUAAAGGCUCACCAAGGCAACGAUCGGUAACUGGUCUGAGAGGAUGGUCAGUCACACUGGAACUGAGACACGGUCCAGACUCCUACGGGAGGCAGCAGUGGGGAAUAUUGGACAAUGGGGCAACCCUGAUCCAGCCAUGCCGCGUGUGUGAAGAAGGCCUUCGGGUUGUAAAGCACUUUAAGCAGGGAGGAAGGCUCGUACGUUAAUACCGUGCGGGAGUGACGUUACCUGCAGAAUAAGCACCGGCAAACUCCGUGCCAGCCGCCGCCGUAA